GACGAACGCUGGCGGCGUGCCUAAUACAUGCAAGUCGAGCGAAGGUUUGCUAGUGCUUGCACUAUGAAAACUUAGCGGCGAAGGUGUGAGUAACAUGUAAAGAACCUGCCUCAUAGACUGGGACAACUAUUGGAAAGGAUAUCUAAUACCGGAUAACAGUGUUUCUCGCAGGUGAGAUAUUUAAAAGUUUGUUAUGCUAACACUAUGAUAGAGCUUUGCUGUGCAUUAGCUAGUUGGUGGGGUAAAGGCCCACCAAGGCGACGAUGCAUAGCCGACCUGAGAGGGUGAUCGGCCACACUGGGACUGAGACACGGCCCAGACUCCUACGGGAGGCAGCAGUAGGGAAUCUUCCGCAAUGGGCGAAAGCCUGACGGAGCAACGCCGCGUGAGUGAAGAAGGACUUCGGUUCGUAAAGCUCUGUUAUUAGGGAAGAAUGUAUAUGUAGUAACUAGACCUGUAAGAGACGGUACCUAAUCAGAAAGCCACGGCUAACUACGUG
RNAcentral lists this ribosomal RNA (499 nucleotides) under uncultured bacterium. RNAcentral's name for it is "partial 16S ribosomal RNA". It matches the Rfam family "Bacterial small subunit ribosomal RNA", at positions 28 to 507 of the family's 1533-position model. The record is from RNAcentral.